Molecule: ribosomal RNA, 463 nt
Filed under: uncultured bacterium
Lineage: Bacteria
Description: bacterial SSU rRNA
Rfam family: Bacterial small subunit ribosomal RNA
Source: RNAcentral
GGGCCCGCACAAGCAGUGGAGUAUGUGGUUUAAUUCGAAGCAACGCGAAGAACCUUACCAGGGCUUGACAUCCCGUGCAUAGUAUAGAGAUAUAUGAAGUCCUUCGGGACACGGAGACAGGUGGUGCAUGGUUGUCGUCAGCUCGUGUCGUGAGAUGUUGGGUUAAGUCCCGCAACGAGCGCAACCCUUAUUGUUAGUUGCUACCAUUUAGUUGAGCACUCUAACGAGACUGCCGGUGACAAAUCGGAGGAAGGUGGGGACGACGUCAAAUCAUCAUGCCCCUUAUGUCCUGGGCUACACACGUACUACAAUGGCUGUUAACAGAGGGAAGCGAUACCGCGAGGUGGAGCAAAUCCCCAAAAACAGUCUCAGUUCAGAUUGCAGGCUGCAACUCGCCUGCAUGAAGUCGGAAUUGCUAGUAAUCGCGGAUCAGCAUGCCGCGGUGAAUACGUUCCCGGGCCUU